AGCAGCCGCGGUAAUUCCAGCUCCAAUAGCGUAUAUUAAAGUUGUUGCAGUUAAAAGCUCGUAGUUGAAUUUCGGGAUCAAUUUGCUGGUCGGAACCUCUGGUACGUACUGGUAUUAUUGAUUUCUUUCAUUCUGAUAGAUCAUGGAUGUCAUUAAUUUGAUGACUUUGAGGAAUCGGAACUUUUACUUUGAAAAAUUAGAGUGUUUAAAGCAGGCUUAUCAGGCUUGAAUACAUUAGCAUGGAAUAAUGAAAUAGGACGUUCGAUCCUAUUUUGUUGGUUUCUAGGAUUGACGUAAUGAUUAAUAGGGAUAGUUGGGGGCAUUAGUAUUCAAUUGUCAGAGGCGAAAUUCUUGGAUUUAUUGAAGACUAACUACUGCGAAAGCAUUUGCCAAGGAUGUUUUCAUUAAUCAAGAACGAAAGUUAGGGGAUCGAAGACGAUCAGAUACCGUCGUAGUCUUAACCAUAAACUAUGCCGACUAGGGAUCGGAUGAUGUUAAUUUUUUAAUGACUCAUUCGGCG
This 520-nucleotide ribosomal RNA is filed under the name uncultured Glomus. Its description in RNAcentral is "bacterial SSU rRNA". It matches the Rfam family "Eukaryotic small subunit ribosomal RNA", at positions 569 to 1085 of the family's 1831-position model. The record is from RNAcentral. Lineage: Eukaryota; Fungi; Glomeromycota; Glomeromycetes; Glomerales; Glomeraceae.